Molecule: ribosomal RNA, 254 nt
Filed under: uncultured bacterium
Lineage: Bacteria
Description: partial 16S ribosomal RNA
Rfam family: Bacterial small subunit ribosomal RNA
Source: RNAcentral
UACGGGGGGAGCAAGCGUUGUUCGGAUUUACUGGGCGUAAAGGGCGCGUAGGCGGCCACCGCAAGUCGACUGUGAAAUCUCCGGGCUUAACCCGGAAAGGUCAGCCGAUACUGCGGGGCUAGAGUGCAGAAGGGGCAACUGGAAUUCUCGGUGUAGCGGUGAAAUGCGUAGAUAUCGGGAGGAACACCAGUGGCGAAGGCGGCUACCUGGCACAUAACUGACGCUGAUACGCGAAAGCGUGGGGAGCGAACCGG